AUAGCUCUAACCAACUGCUAGCUCUAUAAGCAGGAUCUUUAUGCCAAGGCUUUAAAAAUGGUAAAUUGAAACACUGCUACAUAAAAGAACAAGCAAACNGCAAGGAAAACACGUCAAGAAUAACACAGAGCAAAAUCAAAACAUAAACUUUAUCAGUCAACAAAAAAAGGUUUUUAAAAAGCAGAAAAUGGCAAUUUGGGAGGAAUCGGCUGAACUGGAUCUGUCAAACGAAGUAGACCAGUGUGCAGUGCCAAUACCAAGAAGGACAGAGGUCUUCCUCCUCAGAUGUACAGGGGUCAAAUGGGAAAAAUUCCACAGCAGCGGCUUUUUACGAAUGGAACAGGGUCUAAUAAGGGCACUNGUGNCCUUANGUAGAGGCNAANAGAAGNGGNAAGAAAGGGGAAACUGGCNUAAAUCUACCCUAAACUAACCCACAAAACUCUAGCUCAGGCAGGAGAAGCCGGUUCUCACCCUCAGAAGCAAAGUUCUUUAAGAACUCUCNGACGAAUGCCAUCUGAUCCUGGAGAACUAAAAAUAAAAUUAAGGACACUAAGGAUAAAAUCAGACGAUAUUGAAAGAAAGAAAAGUGCAAGGCUGCUGUCAGAAAGGGGAAGAACUUCGGAGCGGUGCAGCGGAUGCAGAGCAGGAUCCCAUCCACUGACUGCUGCACACGCAGGGGACAGAGGUUCGGGUGUCCCCCCAGAGGAAGAAAGCUGUUCGACUGAGAUUGAGGAAAGGUAACAGGAGUUUGCACAGGAAUUUGGAGGACUGACUGCUGCUCCUCUGGCGGGUUUGUUGGGUAGAUCCUCUGGGUUUUGGAGGGUUUCCUGGGCACUUGGCGUAUUGCUGGUUUCGCCACUAGAGGGUGGCUGCUUUCUAAGGUAGCCUGAGCACAUGGACUGACAGAGGAGAGGCCUGAGCACCUUUUUAUUUUAUUUAUGUGUUAUACCCACAGAUUUCAGGGUGGGUCACAAUAGAACCAAUACAAAGGUAGAUCAAAUAAAUUACUUAAAAUGGCGAUAAUGUCUGCA
RNAcentral lists this long non-coding RNA (1031 nucleotides) under Salvator merianae (Argentine black and white tegu). Its description in RNAcentral is "lncRNA (ENSSMRG00000019796.1)". Lineage: Eukaryota; Metazoa; Chordata; Lepidosauria; Squamata; Teiidae. The record is from RNAcentral.